UACGAAGGGGGCUAGCGUUGCUCGGAAUUACUGGGCGUAAAGCGCACGUAGGCGGCUUUCUAAGUCUGGGGUGAAAUCCUGGAGCUCAACUCCAGAACUGCCUUCGAUACUGGAAAGCUCGAGUCCGGGAGAGGUGAGUGGAACUGCGAGUGUAGAGGUGAAAUUCGUAGAUAUUCGCAAGAACACCAGUGGCGAAGGCGGCUCACUGGCCCGGUACUGACGCUGAGGCGCGAAAGCGUGGGGAGCAAACAGG
Molecule: ribosomal RNA, 253 nt
Filed under: uncultured bacterium
Lineage: Bacteria
Description: partial 16S ribosomal RNA
Rfam family: Bacterial small subunit ribosomal RNA
Source: RNAcentral